CUUUUUUUUUUUUUUUUUUUUUCGGUAAUGAUAAUAUUUGUAUAAACUAAUCUAUCAUAUCUACAGAGAGAACCUAAAGAGGCAGUUUAAGGGCCUAACAGGUAUACAGAUCUAAUUAGACUAAAGAAAUGAUCUGGCAUCUCUUUUGAAUUUUUUUCACUUUAGGUGAGUUUCGAACUCCCGAUCUAUAUCCGAGAGAGGGAAGUCUCUCUUUGGUGGCCAUUAAGCUUUGCGGGGUGGUUGUUUGGUACACUACUAUGGGCUUUUUCAUUGCCCACUUUUGGGUCUUUCAUUUACCCAAAGCUCAUUGCGUUACCAGUUUGGGCACUUUCACUCCCAUUAGCCAUUACCCACCAAGAUAGAAAAAUAAAACAAAAACAGACUGAAAAAUGGGGAAGGAAAAGCCAAAAAGGAUGACAGCCGCAGCAUCUUCCAUCUUGCCUCGAGUACUCCUACUUCCCUUUUCUGUUUCAUCCCAAUCUCUCUCUCUCCUCCCUUCUUUCUUUCUCUAUCUUACGCAAUUUCUACUCUUUUCUCUCUCACAAGUUAUGGUGGCGGGAGGUGGCUGUGAAAUGAGUUGGAGGUGGUGGGAGCCUGGGAGGUGGCAAUAAUAAUCUUUUUUUAUUCAAAAAGUCAUUAACAUUAUGGUACCAGAUUUUAUCAAAAGGAAUCUACACAAAUCUAUUAUCAAGUGGAAGAAAAGGAAAAUAAAUUUUUUCAUUCAAAAAGUCAAUGAAAUUAUGGUAACUAUCAAACACCAGAUUUUAUCAAAAGGAAUCUACACAAAUCCAUUAUUAUUGAAGGGUCUUUCAUAGUGAUUAUCAUUGCUAUUGCUUAGCAACAACCAAUCGGGUGGUAAUUUUUCUUCAAAAGAGAAAUAAUUACAUGGAGGCCCUGCGUACUCUACUACUUAAGAUCAGUGUAAAUCAGACAUACAAACACUAAGUCAAUCCAUCGAAAUCCCAAAAACGAAGAACAAAAGAUAGACGUAUCUUAAAUUAUGCUACCAAUCUACAACUGGUUUGACUCAGCUCAGUAACCUUUUCCGGCCUCUUCAACAAAUGCUUUUAGAU
This 1073-nucleotide long non-coding RNA is filed under the name Coffea arabica (coffee). Its description in RNAcentral is "long non-coding RNA (CARA_LNC002486)". The record is from RNAcentral. Lineage: Eukaryota; Viridiplantae; Streptophyta; Magnoliopsida; Gentianales; Rubiaceae.